RNAcentral lists this ribosomal RNA (239 nucleotides) under uncultured bacterium. RNAcentral's name for it is "partial 16S ribosomal RNA". It matches the Rfam family "Bacterial small subunit ribosomal RNA", at positions 791 to 1035 of the family's 1533-position model. The record is from RNAcentral.
UAGUCCACACAGUAAACGAUGAAUACUCGCUGUUUGCGAUAUACAGUAAGCGGCCAAGCGAAAGCGUUAAGUAUUCCACCUGGGGAGUACGCCGGCAACGGUGAAACUCAAAGGAAUUGACGGGGGCCCGCACAAGCGGAGGAACAUGUGGUUUAAUUCGAUGAUACGCGAGGAACCUUACCCGGGCUUGAAUUGCAACUGAAUGAUGUGGAGACAUGUCAGCCGCAAGGCAGUUGUGA